CUACGGGCUGCUGCAGUGGGGAAUAUUGCACAAUGGGCGCAAGCCUGAUGCAGCCAUGCCGCGUGUAUGAAGAAGGCCUUCGGGUUGUAAAGUACUUUCAGCGGGGAGGAAGGGAGUAAAGUUAAUACCUUUGCUCAUUGACGUUACCCGCAGAAGAAGCACCGGCUAACUCCGUGCCAGCAGCCGCGGUAAUACGGAGGGUGCAAGCGUUAAUCGGAAUUACUGGACGUAAAGCGCACGCAGGCGGUUUGUUAAGUCAGAUGUGAAAUCCCCGGGCUCAACCUGGGAACUGCAUCUGAUACUGGCAAGCUUGAGUCUCGUAGAGGGGGGUAGAAUUCCAGGUGUAGCGGUGAAAUGCGUAGAGACCUGGAGGAAUACCGGUGGCGAAGGCGGCCCCCUGGACGAAGACUGACGCUCAGGUGCGAAAGCGUGGGGAGCAAACAGGAUUAGAUACCCCGGUAGUC
Molecule: ribosomal RNA, 464 nt
Filed under: uncultured bacterium
Lineage: Bacteria
Description: partial 16S ribosomal RNA
Rfam family: Bacterial small subunit ribosomal RNA
Source: RNAcentral